CUGAACUUUCUUUAAGGUCACAAUCUUCCUAUCAUCCCUUUUUCACGCUCUAUACACAUUGCUAUCAUAUUAGGACUUAUAAAUAUACUUUUUGCUUUGAUUGUGGUCUAAGAUAUUAGUUUAAACUUACAUUUAAAUUUUAGUUUUGUUUCCUUUUCAUUUGGUCUUCUUACCUCUUUAUUUUUGUGACUCUUCUUAUCAGAAUAUCACUGCCCAUGAAACUAUGUUUAAUAUGGCAUAUGUGUGAUACUACUUGAAGCUUGAGUUUGUUUUGCCCCACUUUUGUGUGUGAUAAAAGAUCUCUUUAGACAUGAAUUGGAUUUUGUUAGGUUUUUAGGUAAAACUAUUUGAGCCACAGCGCCAACAAGUGUGUGGUGAAUUUCUUGAAAGAAAUUUCUUUUCGAUCAAACUUCUAGAGUCUUCUUUCAAAGCUUGAAGUUCGUUAGAUCGUGAUUUUAUGGCUAUACAGUUUGUGGAUUCAAGAGUAGUAUAUUCUGUUUGACAGAGAACUUUCGAUCCUUAUGGUCCCUCCAUGUCUAGGGAUUAAGACUGAUCCAAUAAAACUUUUUUCUUUUCUUAUUGUCCUCUUAACACCAGUGAUCAAUUUAAUUCGGAAUAUAACUUCAGUUUGCUAUUAAUUAUUUCCUUGGAGGUAUGAGUGGCUGGCAGGGCCUAGAUGUGCUUCAUGAGAUUGAUAAACAAGAGCAUAAGAUACAUCCUUUCGAUUAAUCCUACUUCUUCAGAGGAUAGCACAACCAGUAAUAUGCUGAAAUUGAACCUGCUCUGUGUAUGUCCCACACUUAGACAAGCACAUCAUCACAACUUGUGCAAGUUAGCAGUCAAUUACUUCAUUGACCUACCACACUAAGAGCUUAAGAGCACAAUCACUUGUUCCAACAUAUUCAAUUGCUAGACACUUAAUUGCUAUUGAAAGGCUUUAGGAAUGAUGAAAUAUGCGGAUCAUCGUGUCUUCCCUAUUGUUACAUUUGUUGACACUCCAGGGUCUUUUGCUGAUUUAAGAUCUGAAGAGCUAAGUUAGGGUGAGCCAAUAGGCCAAACUUUAAGGGCAAUGUUUGGGCUGAGAGUUCCAAUCAUAACAGUUGUAACUAAUGAAGGUGGUUCAGGCAAAUCUCUUGCCAUUGAAUGUGUAAACAAGUGGUUAAUGUUGGAAAACUCCACAACAUUUUAUGUUGCCAGGUGUGCUAGAACCAAUAUAAACUCAAGAGAGAGCGGUGAUGAACCAUUUGAAGGCAUUGAAGAUUGAUUUCAGUGGUAACCGACUAACCGUGCUCUCUCAAGUCUAGAUGCAGAAGGUUGCAGUUAGGAGUGUACAUGACCGGGUUGGUUCAGAUUUUUCAAAUAUCAAAUCAAACCAUUUGUGUAAAAAUUUUAA
This is a long non-coding RNA of Solanum stenotomum, 1393 nucleotides long. RefSeq lists it as uncharacterized. NCBI's taxonomy places the organism in Eukaryota, Viridiplantae, Streptophyta, Magnoliopsida, Solanales, Solanaceae. The transcript has 4 exons. The record is from RefSeq and is a predicted model, not a curated record.